GACGAACGCUGGCGGCGCGCUUAACACAUGCAAGUCGAACGGAAAGGCCUGCUUUCCCUUGUGGAUUGCGGGUACUCGAGUGGCGAACGGGUGAGUAACACGUGAGUGAUCUGCCCCCAACUUGGGUAUAAGCCUGGGAAACUGGGUCUAAUUCCCGAUAGGACUGCAGGGUGGUGCCUGUGGUGGAAAACGAUUUUCUAGUGGUUGGGGAUGAGCUCGCGGCCUAUCAGCUUGUUGGUGGGGUACUGGCCUACCAAGGCGGCGACGGGUAGCCGGCCUGAGAGGGUGGACGGCCACAUUGGGACUGAGAUACGGCCCAGACUCCUACGGGAGGCAGCAGUGGGGAAUAUUGCACAAUGGGCGGAAGCCUGAUGCAGCGACGCCGCGUGGGGGAUGACGGCCUUCGGGUUGUAAACUCCUUUCGACCGCGAGGAAGCCACCUGGUUGGAAGGGUGGUGACGGUAGUGGUAGAAGAAGCACCGGCUAACUACGUG
RNAcentral lists this ribosomal RNA (494 nucleotides) under uncultured bacterium. RNAcentral's name for it is "partial 16S ribosomal RNA". It matches the Rfam family "Bacterial small subunit ribosomal RNA", at positions 28 to 507 of the family's 1533-position model. The record is from RNAcentral.